Molecule: transfer RNA, 102 nt
Filed under: Sphingomonas sp. BK481
Lineage: Bacteria; Pseudomonadati; Pseudomonadota; Alphaproteobacteria; Sphingomonadales; Sphingomonadaceae
Description: tRNA-OTHER
Source: RNAcentral
GCGCUGGGCUCAACCGUUUCCCCGGCAAGAACGUUGGAAGGCCGGGAAACGGGCUUCGUUCGUAAUGCGGGGGUCACAGGUUCGAGUCCUGUAAGCGCACCA